GUCAGUAACUCAGGGCUAAAGCCACUGAGCUUGUAAGAAAUUGCAAGCUGUACUGACCAGACCACCCUGAGCGUAGUCGAAGGGUAGCCGUUAUUUGAGUCACGACACCUCGGAAUGCGUUGCUAGUUCCCCGCUCUGUCGCUGUAAGCUAAACAGUUUUAAAGUCACUGAAACAGUGCUUACAGCCUAACAAGCUCUUAUAACAGGUCGAAGCUAACAUUAC
Non-coding RNA from Anabaena sp. 90, 223 nucleotides. It matches the Rfam family "HNH endonuclease-associated RNA and ORF (HEARO) RNA". Lineage: Bacteria; Bacillati; Cyanobacteriota; Cyanophyceae; Nostocales; Nostocaceae. The record is from Rfam.